RNAcentral lists this ribosomal RNA (492 nucleotides) under uncultured bacterium. RNAcentral describes it as "partial 16S ribosomal RNA". It matches the Rfam family "Bacterial small subunit ribosomal RNA", at positions 29 to 507 of the family's 1533-position model. The record is from RNAcentral.
AGUGAACGCUGGCGGUAGGCCUAACACAUGCAAGUCGAACGGCAGCACAGUAAGAGCUUGCUCUUACGGGUGGCGAGUGGCGGACGGGUGAGGAAUACAUCGGAAUCUACUUUUUCGUGGGGGAUAACGUAGGGAAACUUACGCUAAUACCGCAUACGACCUACGGGUGAAAGCAGGGGAUCUUCGGACCUUGCGCGAUUGAAGGAGCCGAUGUCGGAUUAGCUAGUUGGAGGGGUAAAGGCCCACCAAGGCGACGAUCCGUAGCUGGUCUGAGAGGAUGAUCAGCCACACUGGAACUGAGACACGGUCCAGACUCCUACGGGAGGCAGCAGUGGGGAAUAUUGGACAAUGGGCGCAAGCCUGAUCCAGCCAUACCGCGUGGGUGAAGAAGGCCUUCGGGUUGUAAAGCCCUUUUGUUGGGAAAGAAAAGCAGCAGGUUAAUACCCCGCUGUUCUGACGGUACCCAAAGAAUAAGCACCGGCUAACUUCGUG